This 447-nucleotide ribosomal RNA is filed under the name uncultured bacterium. RNAcentral's name for it is "bacterial SSU rRNA". It matches the Rfam family "Bacterial small subunit ribosomal RNA", at positions 329 to 792 of the family's 1533-position model. The record is from RNAcentral.
UUCCAGACUCCUACGGGAGGCAGCAGUGGGGAAUAUUGCACAAUGGGGGAAACCCUGAUGCAGCAACGCCGCGUGAGUGAAGAAGUAUUUCGGUAUGUAAAGCUCUAUCAGCAGGGAAGAAGAAGGACGGUACCUGACUAAGAAGCCCCGGCUAACUACGUGCCAGCAGCCGCGGUAAUACGUAGGGGGCGAGCGUUAUCCGGAUUUACUGGGUGUAAAGGGAGCGUAGACGGUUUUUCAAGUCUGAAGUGAAAGCCCGCGGCUCAACUGCGGAACGGCUUUGGAAACUGAGGGACUAGAGUGCUGGAGGGGCAGGCGGAAUUCCUGGUGUAGCGGUGAAAUGCGUAGAUAUCGCGCAGAACUCCGAUUGCGAAGGCAGCAUGCCGGCUCCACACUGACGCUGAGGCACGAAAGCGUGGGUAUCGAACAGGAUUAGAUACCCCGGUA